UUGGCGAUGCGUCUUAAGCAUGCAAGUCGAGCGGGCUUAUUCGGGCAACUGGAUAAGUUAGCGGCGAACUGGUGAGUAACACGUAGGUAAUCUGCCGUGAAGUGGGGGAUAACCCAUGGAAACAUGGACUAAUACCGCAUAUACUCUUGCUACAUAAGUAGAGUAGAGGAAAGUUUUUUCGCUUCACGAUGAGCCUGCGGCCUAUUAGCCUGUUGGUAGGGUAAUGGCCUACCAAAGCUACGAUAGGUAGCCGACCUGAGAGGGUGACCGGCCACAUUGGGACUGAGAUACGGCCCAGACUCCUACGGGAGGCAGCAGCUGAGAAUCUUCCACAAUGGACGAAAGUCUGAUGGAGCGACAUCGCGUGAGGGAUGAAGGCCUUCGGUUUGUAAACCUCGGAAAUUAUCGAAGAAUGAGUGACAGUAGAUAAUGUAA
Molecule: ribosomal RNA, 435 nt
Filed under: Brachyspira pilosicoli
Lineage: Bacteria; Pseudomonadati; Spirochaetota; Spirochaetia; Brachyspirales; Brachyspiraceae
Description: bacterial SSU rRNA
Rfam family: Bacterial small subunit ribosomal RNA
Source: RNAcentral